Molecule: ribosomal RNA, 2899 nt
Filed under: Klebsiella pneumoniae
Lineage: Bacteria; Pseudomonadati; Pseudomonadota; Gammaproteobacteria; Enterobacterales; Enterobacteriaceae
Description: 23S ribosomal RNA
Rfam family: Bacterial large subunit ribosomal RNA
Source: RNAcentral
UUAAGCGACUAAGCGUACACGGUGGAUGCCCUGGCAGUCAGAGGCGAUGAAGGACGUGCUAAUCUGCGAAAAGCGUCGGUAAGGUGAUAUGAACCGUUAUAACCGGCGAUGUCCGAAUGGGGAAACCCAGUGCAAUUCGUUGCACUAUCGUUAACUGAAUACAUAGGUUAACGAGGCGAACCGGGGGAACUGAAACAUCUAAGUACCCCGAGGAAAAGAAAUCAACCGAGAUUCCCCCAGUAGCGGCGAGCGAACGGGGAGCAGCCCAGAGUCUGAAUCAGCUUGUGUGUUAGUGGAACGGUCUGGAAAGUCCGACGGUACAGGGUGAUAGUCCCGUACACCAAAAUGCACAGGUUGUGAACUCGAAGAGUAGGGCGGGACACGUGGUAUCCUGUCUGAAUAUGGGGGACCAUCCUCCAAGGCUAAAUACUCCUGACUGACCGAUAGUGAACCAGUACCGUGAGGGAAAGGCGAAAAGAACCCCGGCGAGGGGAGUGAAAAAGAACCUGAAACCGUGUACGUACAAGCAGUGGGAGCACCUUCGGGUGUGACUGCGUACCUUUUGUAUAAUGGGUCAGCGACUUAUAUUCUGUAGCAAGGUUAACCGUAUAGGGGAGCCGCAGGGAAACCGAGUCUUAACUGGGCGUUAAGUUGCAGGGUAUAGACCCGAAACCCGGUGAUCUAGCCAUGGGCAGGUUGAAGGUUGGGUAACACUAACUGGAGGACCGAACCGACUAAUGUUGAAAAAUUAGCGGAUGACUUGUGGCUGGGGGUGAAAGGCCAAUCAAACCGGGAGAUAGCUGGUUCUCCCCGAAAGCUAUUUAGGUAGCGCCUCGUGAACUCAUCUUCGGGGGUAGAGCACUGUUUCGGCUAGGGGGUCAUCCCGACUUACCAACCCGAUGCAAACUACGAAUACCGAAGAAUGUUAUCACGGGAGACACACGGCGGGUGCUAACGUCCGUCGUGAAGAGGGAAACAACCCAGACCGCCAGCUAAGGUCCCAAAGUCAUGGUUAAGUGGGAAACGAUGUGGGAAGGCACAGACAGCCAGGAUGUUGGCUUAGAAGCAGCCAUCAUUUAAAGAAAGCGUAAUAGCUCACUGGUCGAGUCGGCCUGCGCGGAAGAUGUAACGGGGCUAAACCAUGCACCGAAGCUGCGGCAGCGACACUAUGUGUUGUUGGGUAGGGGAGCGUUCUGUAAGCCUGCGAAGGUGUGCUGUGAGGCAUGCUGGAGGUAUCAGAAGUGCGAAUGCUGACAUAAGUAACGAUAAAGCGGGUGAAAAGCCCGCUCGCCGGAAGACCAAGGGUUCCUGUCCAACGUUAAUCGGGGCAGGGUGAGUCGACCCCUAAGGCGAGGCCGAAAGGCGUAGUCGAUGGGAAACAGGUUAAUAUUCCUGUACUUGGUGUUACUGCGAAGGGGGGACGGAGAAGGCUAUGUUAGCCGGGCGACGGUUGUCCCGGUUUAAGCAUGUAGGCUGGUUGUCCAGGCAAAUCCGGAUAAUCAAGGCUGAGGUGUGAUGACGAGGCACUACGGUGCUGAAGUAACAAAUGCCCUGCUUCCAGGAAAAGCCUCUAAGCAUCAGGUAACAUUAAAUCGUACCCCAAACCGACACAGGUGGUCAGGUAGAGAAUACCAAGGCGCUUGAGAGAACUCGGGUGAAGGAACUAGGCAAAAUGGUGCCGUAACUUCGGGAGAAGGCACGCUGGUGUGUAGGUGAAGCCCCUGCGGGUGGAGCUGAGACCAGUCGAAGAUACCAGCUGGCUGCAACUGUUUAUUAAAAACACAGCACUGUGCAAACACGAAAGUGGACGUAUACGGUGUGACGCCUGCCCGGUGCCGGAAGGUUAAUUGAUGGGGUUAUCCGUAAGGAGAAGCUCUUGAUCGAAGCCCCGGUAAACGGCGGCCGUAACUAUAACGGUCCUAAGGUAGCGAAAUUCCUUGUCGGGUAAGUUCCGACCUGCACGAAUGGCGUAAUGAUGGCCAGGCUGUCUCCACCCGAGACUCAGUGAAAUUGAACUCGCUGUGAAGAUGCAGUGUACCCGCGGCAAGACGGAAAGACCCCGUGAACCUUUACUAUAGCUUGACACUGAACAUUGAGCCUUGAUGUGUAGGAUAGGUGGGAGGCUUUGAAGCGUGGACGCCAGUCUGCGUGGAGCCAACCUUGAAAUACCACCCUUUAAUGUUUGAUGUUCUAACGUUGGCCCCUUACCGGGGUUGCGGACAGUGUCUGGUGGGUAGUUUGACUGGGGCGGUCUCCUCCCAAAGCGUAACGGAGGAGCACGAAGGUUAGCUAAUCCUGGUCGGACAUCAGGAGGUUAGUGCAAUGGCAUAAGCUAGCUUGACUGCGAGCGUGACGGCGCGAGCAGGUGCGAAAGCAGGUCAUAGUGAUCCGGUGGUUCUGAAUGGAAGGGCCAUCGCUCAACGGAUAAAAGGUACUCCGGGGAUAACAGGCUGAUACCGCCCAAGAGUUCAUAUCGACGGCGGUGUUUGGCACCUCGAUGUCGGCUCAUCACAUCCUGGGGCUGAAGUAGGUCCCAAGGGUAUGGCUGUUCGCCAUUUAAAGUGGUACGCGAGCUGGGUUUAGAACGUCGUGAGACAGUUCGGUCCCUAUCUGCCGUGGGCGCUGGAGAAUUGAGGGGGGCUGCUCCUAGUACGAGAGGACCGGAGUGGACGCAUCACUGGUGUUCGGGUUGUCAUGCCAAUGGCACUGCCCGGUAGCUAAAUGCGGAAGAGAUAAGUGCUGAAAGCAUCUAAGCACGAAACUUGCCCCGAGAUGAGUUCUCCCUGAGACUUUAAGUCUCCUGAAGGAACGUUGAAGACGACGACGUUGAUAGGCCGGGUGUGUAAGCGCAGCGAUGCGUUGAGCUAACCGGUACUAAUGAACCGUGAGGCUUAACCUU